Molecule: ribosomal RNA, 339 nt
Filed under: uncultured fungus
Lineage: Eukaryota; Fungi
Description: partial small subunit ribosomal RNA
Rfam family: Eukaryotic small subunit ribosomal RNA
Source: RNAcentral
GCUUGUCUCAAAGAUUAAGCCAUGCAUGUCUCAGCAUAAGCUUCAACACGGUGAAACUGCAAAUGGCUCAUUAAAGCAGUUACAAUUUAUUUGAUGGUCACUGUUACAUGGAUAACUGUGGUAAUUCUAGAGCUAAUACAUGCAUCAAAACCUGACUCUUGGGAAGGGUUGUGUUUAUUAGAUACAAAACCAAACGGCUUCGGCCGUCUCAUUGGUGACUCUGAAUAACUUUGGGCUGAUCGUAUGGCCUUGUGCCGACGACGUUUCCUUCGAAGGUGUGCCCUAUCAACUGUCGACUGUGAUAUAGACGCUCACAGUGGUUUUGACGGGUAACGGGGA